AAGGCUUCAGUACGACCCAGUCAGAACCAUAAGUCUCAAAGCCCCGACGAGUAGGGUGGCGUGCCGGUGCGCGUUGAAGGCCAAGACGUGAGUCAGGCUGGAGCCGCCGGUAGUGCAGAUCUUGGUGGUAGUAGCAAGUACUCUGGUGAACCAACCUGGAGCUGUGAGGUCUGGAUCAGGGUUCCAUGUCAACAGUGAUUGAACAUGGGUGAGUCGAUCCUAAGCCAACUGUGAAAGCAGUGACAUCCCGACAACGGGGCAGUACGCGCGCUGCACUUACACCCCCAAUCACGAGGCUCUCGUUUGCAUAUAUAUCUCUCUCUCUCUGUGGCUGGCUUUGCGCGUACACACGCACACGGUGAUCACAGUAAAUAAAAAUUACUUGUGAGUGCGUGUGUCGCGCUCGUUUCUGAUUACGCUCAUAAGCGUUGGUUCUCUGAAAGUGUGGUCCACAAACACACACACACGCGCACUGCCAAAGGAAUUAGGAGAGAGAGAAAGAGGGUCUCUGGGUGAGCGUCGAGUGACUUGCGUGAGUCCCCUGCGUCUGGUUCCAUGUCUGGCGAAAGGGAAUGGGGACUUUGUUCCUUGACCGGUCCCGGCACCCUCGAUUGGCUCCGCCAAUUCAUGGUCCAUGCAAAUGGAACCAGGCCACAGCCGCCGGCAGUCGCCCGAGGAAGAGUUUUCUUUUCUGCUUAACGCGCGAGGUCAUCCCUGGAAACAGUUCGGCUGGCGAAAGGGUGUCCCGUUGCGGCAGAGCGCCACGACUGUCGUGCGCGUCUCGGUGUUCCUGCCGGUCCGUGAAGACGUGGUCGAGGGGAUUGCUAUCUUGUAUCAACGAAACGUCCGACAAGUUCGGGACGGACCGUACCCUAUAUCCGCAUCUGGUCUCCAAGGUUCGUAGCCUCUGCAGAGUCAGACACAUGUAGGUAAGGGAAGUCGGCAAACUCGAUCCGUAACUUCGGGAAAAGGAUUGGCUCUGAGGGCCGAGCUGGGCCGGGCCUUGCCUGCAAAGCAGUACCUAUAGUGACCGGAGUUUCAGGAGUGCGAGGGGCUCUAGUAGCUGCUCGUGCGUGUGUGUGCGUUCGCGCGUGCGCGCGCGUGUGGGCACGAACGAGUCCACCGCUCCGCUCCAACCACGAACGGCUGUGACGGCAAGGGCUCUGGGCGGGAGCGAUCAAUCCGUUGGCCUCCAGCUCGUCUGGCUGGCGGCGGUGCUCCGUCUGACCCAUACGGCUCCAGCGGCUAGCGGCUAACUCAGAACUGUCAUGGACCAAGGGAAUCCGACUGUCUAAUUAAAACAAAGCGUCGUGACGGCCCCUGGUUGGGUGUUGACCCCACCUGAUUUC
RNAcentral lists this ribosomal RNA (1349 nucleotides) under Niphargus borisi. RNAcentral describes it as "partial large subunit ribosomal RNA". It matches the Rfam family "Eukaryotic large subunit ribosomal RNA", at positions 1324 to 2198 of the family's 3401-position model. Lineage: Eukaryota; Metazoa; Arthropoda; Malacostraca; Amphipoda; Niphargidae. The record is from RNAcentral.